AACGAACGCUGGCGGCAUGCCUAACACAUGCAAGUCGAACGAGACCUUCGGGUCUAGUGGCGCACGGGUGCGUAACGCGUGGGAACCUGCCCUUAGGUUCGGAAUAACUCCCCGAAAGGGGUGCUAAUACCGGAUAAUGUCUUCGGACCAAAGAUUGAUCGCCUUUGGAUGGGCCCGCGUUGGAUUAGCUAGUUGGUAGGGUAAAAGCCUACCAAGGCGACGAUCCAUAGCUGGUCUGAGAGGAUGAUCAGCCACACUGGGACUGAGACACGGCCCAGACUCCUACGGGAGGCAGCAGUGGGGAAUAUUGGAAAAUGGGCGAAAGCCUGAUCCAGCAAUGCCGCGUGAGUGAUGAAGGCCUUAGGGUUGUAAAGCUAUUUUACCCGGGAUGAUAAUGACAGUACCGGGAGAAUAAGCUCCGGCUAACUCCGUG
This 433-nucleotide ribosomal RNA is filed under the name uncultured bacterium. RNAcentral describes it as "partial 16S ribosomal RNA". It matches the Rfam family "Bacterial small subunit ribosomal RNA", at positions 29 to 507 of the family's 1533-position model. The record is from RNAcentral.